GGUUAAGCGACUAAGCGUACACGGUGGAUGCCCUGGCAGUCAGAGGCGAUGAAGGACGUGCUAAUCUGCGAAAAGCGCCGGCGAGGUGAUAUGAACCCUUGACCCGGCGAUGUCCGAAUGGGGAAACCCAGUGUGUUCCGACACACUAUCGUUAACUGAAUACAUAGGUUAACGAGGCGAACCGGGGGAACUGAAACAUCUAAGUACCCCGAGGAAAAGAAAUCAACCGAGAUUCCCCCAGUAGCGGCGAGCGAACGGGGAGCAGCCCGGAGUCUGAAUCAGCUUGUGUGUUAGUGGAACGGUCUGGAAAGUCCGACGGUACAGGGUGAUAGUCCCGUACACGAAAACACACAUGCUGUGAACUCGAAGAGUAGGGCGGGACACGUGGUAUCCUGUCUGAAUAUGGGGGGACCAUCCUCCAAGGCUAAAUACU
RNAcentral lists this ribosomal RNA (433 nucleotides) under Enterobacter hormaechei. RNAcentral's name for it is "partial 23S ribosomal RNA". It matches the Rfam family "Bacterial large subunit ribosomal RNA", at positions 1 to 474 of the family's 2925-position model. The record is from RNAcentral. Lineage: Bacteria; Pseudomonadati; Pseudomonadota; Gammaproteobacteria; Enterobacterales; Enterobacteriaceae.